GGGGUUGUGGCUCAGUGGUAGAGCAUUCACCUAGCAUGUGUGAGGCUCUGGGUUCUAUCCUCAGCACCA
RNAcentral lists this transfer RNA (69 nucleotides) under Ictidomys tridecemlineatus (thirteen-lined ground squirrel). Its description in RNAcentral is "Spermophilus tridecemlineatus (thirteen-lined ground squirrel) tRNA". It matches the Rfam family "tRNA". Rfam says of the family: Transfer RNA (tRNA) molecules are approximately 80 nucleotides in length. The record is from Rfam by way of RNAcentral. Lineage: Eukaryota; Metazoa; Chordata; Mammalia; Rodentia; Sciuridae.